Molecule: ribosomal RNA, 2789 nt
Filed under: Escherichia coli
Lineage: Bacteria; Pseudomonadati; Pseudomonadota; Gammaproteobacteria; Enterobacterales; Enterobacteriaceae
Also listed under: 2 other names
Description: partial 23S ribosomal RNA
Rfam family: Bacterial large subunit ribosomal RNA
Source: RNAcentral
GGGUUGUGAGGUUAAGCGACUAAGCGUACACGGUGGAUGCCCUGGCAGUCAGAGGCGAUGAAGGACGUGCUAAUCUGCGAUAAGCGUCGGUGAGGUGAUAUGAACCGUUAUAACCGGCGAUUUCCGAAUGGGGAAACCCAGUGUGUUUCGACACACUAUCAUUAACUGAAUCCAUAGGUUAAUGAGGCGAACCGGGGGAACUGAAACAUCUAAGUACCCCGAGGAAAAGAAAUCAACCGAGAUUCCCCCAGUAGCGGCGAGCGAACGGGGAGGAGCCCAGAGCCUGAAUCAGUGUGUGUGUUAGUGGAAGCGUCUGGAAAGGCGUGCGAUACAGGGUGACAGCCCCGUACACAAAAAUGCACAUAUUGUGAGCUCGAUGAGUAGGGCGGGACACGUGGUAUCCUGUCUGAAUAUGGGGGGACCAUCCUCCAAGGCUAAAUACUCCUGACUGACCGAUAGUGAACCAGUACCGUGAGGGAAAGGCGAAAAGAACCCCGGCGAGGGGAGUGAAAAAGAACCUGAAACCGUGUACGUACAAGCAGUGGGAGCCUCUUAAUGGGGUGACUGCGUACCUUUUGUAUAAUGGGUCAGCGACUUAUAUUCUGUAGCAAGGUUAACCGAAUAGGGGAGCCGAAGGGAAACCGAGUCUUAACUGGGCGUUAAGUUGCAGGGUAUAGACCCGAAACCCGGUGAUCUAGCCAUGGGCAGGUUGAAGGUUGGGUAACACUAACUGGAGGACCGAACCGACUAAUGUUGAAAAAUUAGCGGAUGACUUGUGGCUGGGGGUGAAAGGCCAAUCAAACCGGGAGAUAGCUGGUUCUCCCCGAAAGCUAUUUAGGUAGCGCCUCGUGAAUUCAUCUCCGGGGGUAGAGCACUGUUUCGGCAAGGGGGUCAUCCCGACUUACCAACCCGAUGCAAACUGCGAAUACCGGAGAAUGUUAUCACGGGAGACACACGGCGGGUGCUAACGUCCGUCGUGAAGAGGGAAACAACCCAGACCGCCAGCUAAGGUCCCAAAGUCAUGGUUAAGUGGGAAACGAUGUGGGAAGGCCCAGACAGCCAGGAUGUUGGCUUAGAAGCAGCCAUCAUUUAAAGAAAGCGUAAUAGCUCACUGGUCGAGUCGGCCUGCGCGGAAGAUGUAACGGGGCUAAACCAUGCACCGAAGCUGCGGCAGCGACACUAUGUGUUGUUGGGUAGGGGAGCGUUCUGUAAGCCUGUGAAGGUGGCCUGUGAGGGUUGCUGGAGGUAUCAGAAGUGCGAAUGCUGACAUAAGUAACGAUAAAGCGGGUGAAAAGCCCGCUCGCCGGAAGACCAAGGGUUCCUGUCCAACGUUAAUCGGGGCAGGGUGAGUCGACCCCUAAGGCGAGGCCGAAAGGCGUAGUCGAUGGGAAACAGGUUAAUAUUCCUGUACUUGGUGUUACUGCGAAGGGGGGACGGAGAAGGCUAUGUUGGCCGGGCGACGGUUGUCCCGGUUUAAGCGUGUAGGCUGGUUUUCCAGGCAAAUCCGGAAAACCAAGGCUGAGGCGUGAUGACGAGGCACUACGGUGCUGAAGCGACAAAUGCCCUGCUUCCAGGAAAAGCCUCUAAGCAUCAGGUAACAUCAAAUCGUACCCCAAACCGACACAGGUGGUCAGGUAGAGAAUACCAAGGCGCUUGAGAGAACUCGGGUGAAGGAACUAGGCAAAAUGGUGCCGUAACUUCGGGAGAAGGCACGCUGAUAUGUAGGUGAAGCGACUUGCUCGUGGAGCUGAAAUCAGUCGAAGAUACCAGCUGGCUGCAACUGUUUAUUAAAAACACAGCACUGUGCAAACACGAAAGUGGACGUAUACGGUGUGACGCCUGCCCGGUGCCGGAAGGUUAAUUGAUGGGGUUAGCGGUAACGCGAAGCUCUUGAUCGAAGCCCCGGUAAACGGCGGCCGUAACUAUAACGGUCCUAAGGUAGCGAAAUUCCUUGUCGGGUAAGUUCCGACCUGCACGAAUGGCGUAAUGAUGGCCAGGCUGUCUCCACCCGAGACUCAGUGAAAUUGAACUCGCUGUGAAGAUGCAGUGUACCCGCGGCAAGACGGAAAGACCCCGUGAACCUUUACUAUAGCUUGACACUGAACAUUGAGCCUUGAUGUGUAGGAUAGGUGGGAGGCUUUGAAGUGUGGACGCCAGUCUGCAUGGAGCCGACCUUGAAAUACCACCCUUUAAUGUUUGAUGUUCUAACGUUGGCCCGUAAUCCGGGUUGCGGACAGUGUCUGGUGGGUAGUUUGACUGGGGCGGUCUCCUCCUAAAGAGUAACGGAGGAGCACGAAGGUUGGCUAAUCCUGGUCGGACAUCAGGAGGUUAGUGCAAUGGCAUAAGCCAGCUUGACUGCGAGCGUGACGGCGCGAGCAGGUGCGAAAGCAGGUCAUAGUGAUCCGGUGGUUCUGAAUGGAAGGGCCAUCGCUCAACGGAUAAAAGGUACUCCGGGGAUAACAGGCUGAUACCGCCCAAGAGUUCAUAUCGACGGCGGUGUUUGGCACCUCGAUGUCGGCUCAUCACAUCCUGGGGCUGAAGUAGGUCCCAAGGGUAUGGCUGUUCGCCAUUUAAAGUGGUACGCGAGCUGGGUUUAGAACGUCGUGAGACAGUUCGGUCCCUAUCUGCCGUGGGCGCUGGAGAACUGAGGGGGGCUGCUCCUAGUACGAGAGGACCGGAGUGGACGCAUCACUGGUGUUCGGGUUGUCAUGCCAAUGGCACUGCCCGGUAGCUAAAUGCGGAAGAGAUAAGUGCUGAAAGCAUCUAAGCACGAAACUUGCCCCGAGAUG